AUACGGAGGAUCCGAGCGUUAUCCGGAUUUAUUGGGUUUAAAGGGUGCGCAGGCGGGAGAUUAAGUCGGCGGUGAAAUUUUGCAGCGCAACUGUAAAAGUGCCUUCGAAACUGGGUUCCUUGAGUGUAGAUGAAGUAGGCGGAAUUUGUGGUGUAGCGGGGAAAUGCAUAGAUAUCACGAGGAACUCCGAUUGCGCAGGCAGCUUACUAAACUACUACUGACGCUCAGGCACGAAGGCGUGGGGAUCAAACAGGAUUAGAUACCCUGGUAGUCCACGCAGUAAACGAUGAUUACUAGCUGUUUGCGAUACAAUGUAAGCGGCUGAGCGAAAGCGUUAAGUAAUCCACCUGGGGAGUACGUUCGCAAGAAUGAAACUCAAAGGAAUUGGCGGGG
RNAcentral lists this ribosomal RNA (393 nucleotides) under uncultured bacterium. Its description in RNAcentral is "partial 16S ribosomal RNA". It matches the Rfam family "Bacterial small subunit ribosomal RNA", at positions 523 to 918 of the family's 1533-position model. The record is from RNAcentral.